Molecule: unclassified non-coding RNA, 379 nt
Filed under: uncultured bacterium
Lineage: Bacteria
Description: contains 16S-23S intergenic spacer region
Source: RNAcentral
UCCGGUUUGUCACCGGCAGUCCCAUUAGAGUGCUCAACUGAAUGUAGCAACUAAUGGCAAGGGUUGCGCUCGUUGCGGGACUUAACCCAACAUCUCACGACACGAGCUGACGACAGCCGUGCAGCACCUGUGUUGCGGUUCCCUUUCGGGCACACCCCCAUCUCUGGAAACCGUCCUGCCAUGUCAAGGGCUGGUAAGGUUCUUCGCGUUGCUUCGAAUUAAACCACAUGCUCCACCGCUUGUGCGGGCCCCCGUCAAUUCCUUUGAGUUUCAGCCUUGCGGCCGUACUCCCCAGGCGGGACACUUAUUGCGUUAGCGACGGCACCGGGAGGGUCGCUCCCCCCGACGCCUAGUGUCCAUCGUUUACGGCGUGGACUAC